CCUACGGGAGGCAGCAGUGGGGAAUAUUGGACAAUGGGCGCAAGCCUGAUCCAGCCAUGCCGCGUGAGUGAUGAAGGCCUUCGGGUUGUAAAGCUCUUUCACCGGGGAAGAUAAUGACGGUAUCCGGAGAAUAAGCCCCGGCUAACUUCGUGCCAGCAGCCGCGGUAAUAC
This 171-nucleotide ribosomal RNA is filed under the name uncultured bacterium. Its description in RNAcentral is "partial 16S ribosomal RNA". It matches the Rfam family "Bacterial small subunit ribosomal RNA", at positions 338 to 526 of the family's 1533-position model. The record is from RNAcentral.